GUUUGGCAUUUUAUUGAUGAGCUAAAACCUUUGGAAACUGCAGUUUGCAUUGCAGGUUGAAGAAGAUGGGUCGUUCUGCAAAAUCCGUCGUGCCGAGACUUUCGAAGACCAUUUGCGGUUCUUUAAGGACCUUUGAGCAUGAAUGUGCAUGAGGAAAAAUGCGUUUGCGGGAGGCACCUAUGAAUCUAAGCCAAACUGCUCGGGAGGAUUCAAACUUAAUUCGAUGAUUAUUCGAGAUCGGCUUUUUCGAUUUUGAAUUGAGCUUGAGCUCAUACUUCUCAAAUAAACUCACGCUCAUAAAUAACCAACUCACAAG
Syzygium oleosum is the source of this 316-nucleotide long non-coding RNA. RefSeq lists it as uncharacterized. The record is from RefSeq and is a predicted model, not a curated record. Lineage: Eukaryota; Viridiplantae; Streptophyta; Magnoliopsida; Myrtales; Myrtaceae. The transcript has 2 exons.